This is a long non-coding RNA of Triticum dicoccoides, 625 nucleotides long. RefSeq lists it as uncharacterized. The record is from RefSeq and is a predicted model, not a curated record. Lineage: Eukaryota; Viridiplantae; Streptophyta; Magnoliopsida; Poales; Poaceae. The transcript has 3 exons.
UUUGCAUCUGAGAUUGCAUAAUAUUGGAGGAACAUGCUUAAUUGGCCUGUGCAUUUGGCAGAUAUAGUUGUGUUUGUUCUGCUACUAGCAUCCUGUACUGUUUAGUUGGUAUUUGGUAUUAUAUUUUUUCUUCUAGCCCAGAAUUAUUCAUUUUAGAUCUUGUUGCAUGAUGUGUCAUGUAUAUGACUAGUACUACUAUUUCUGCAUGCUUAUAUGUUUGUGCAUUUACUAGCUUAGCUACCACAGUAGUGUUCUGUUGAAAUUUGAGGCAUAUCUUUGUUCAUAAGUGUCUUUGUUCCCAUGCAGUGUGCUUUGAAACGUAGGGCGAAUGUUGUGGAGGAGUAGGGCGAAUCGGACAUUGUCUCGCUUGUGCCGCUGUGAUAACAUGCUGAAUGUUGUAAAUGACUGUGUAUGAAUCUUCUGUACGUGCAGAUUAUCAGGCAUUAUUUAAUGCUGCUGAGGGUGUAACAGAGUGUUUCAACCAACAGCAGAAAAAUCAGUUUGAUGUAUGGAUGCUUCAUGCGGUGCUAGCUAAUGAUCUCUGUACUGAUGACAGUUUUGUGGUAAGUGUACUGUGGUAAAAUGCAGAUGUUGAUUAUUUCCUCGACCAUGGUUGUGAUGUGCU